RNAcentral lists this unclassified non-coding RNA (2464 nucleotides) under Acyrthosiphon pisum (pea aphid). RNAcentral describes it as "acetyl-coenzyme A transporter 1, transcript variant X3". Lineage: Eukaryota; Metazoa; Arthropoda; Insecta; Hemiptera; Aphididae. The record is from RNAcentral.
AUAUAUUUCGAUAUCUCUUGUAAAAACAACUUGAGAACGUUAUAUUACACUUAAUAUUUUUUUUUACCGAGUUACAAAAAUUAUAUCAAACAUAAACUAGAAAAAAAAUUAACAAAUUAGAACAUUUAUGGUACAUACAAAUAUCUUAAAAAUAGCCUAGUGGUAGCCGAUACGGUAUAAUCCAACUAUUUAUUGCGAGGCACAACUUCUCUAAGCAUUAUCACCUCACAGUGGUAAGGGCAUAGGCUAAGCCCCCCAAAAAAGUUUAAAGUUUAUUCAAUAUUAUCAAAGUCGGACUUUACUCCCCCCCCCCCCUAAACUCAAACACUAUUUGCGGCUAUUGGUAAGGGAUUGAUUUGGUAAGGGCUAUUGGUGUUAAUUGAACCACGGCAAGUGUUUUGCAUUUGUAAUAUAAUACUAUAUUGUGCUUAAUAUAAAAUGUCUUAGUGAUUUAUUUAUUAAUUCUAUUUUAUACAUUUUAUAAUUUUAAAAAGUUUCAUCAAGAAGUCGAUCCCCAAAACGGUAUUAUGCAGGUCAACUCACUGCAGUAACCACUCUCUAUGCGUUUUAUUUAAAACCGGAUUUUCUGUACGAAUAAAAAACUAGGUAGGAAUACGUUUUAAUUUCAUCAUUCGCUGUAUAAUAAAUUUUGAACCGUUCAACUACAUCAAGUAGGAACGUUUAAUCUUUUAUCGCGUGUCGAGCGGGACUUCAUCGAAGCAUUCGAAGCAUGCGCUUGCACUGAUCAUGGGAUUGUAUGUACCUACUCGUCGUUAAUUAACGGGAGAUAACAAACGAAUAUUGUGAAUAUUGUGAAAAUACAUUUCGAUUUUUACGUGCCAAGAGUUAAUUAUUUUUACACAUCGAUUUCUCAAGAGUACCCAAGUUAUCGAAAAACACUCAAGGGUGUUAAGUUAUUCUGUAGAAUCAAUUUUUGAUCAUGAAUAAACCAUACACAACUAAAUGCGAUCCCGAGGAAGCUGUAGUAGCUAACAAAUCUACUAUGCCAAACACACCUAAUCUGAAAGGAGAUUGGUUAAACUUCAACUUGUUGUUAUUGCUUUACGUUCUACAGGGAUUUCCAAUAGGCUUAUCCGGUACUCUUCCAAUCAUUUUACAGAGUAGAAAAAUGGUGACUUAUGAAGAACAGGCUUUAUUUAGUAUUGUGCUUUGGCCUUAUACAUUGAAAGUUUUAUUUGCCCCAUUAGUAGACUCAUUAUACGUACAACGGAUUGGAAGAAGAAAAUCUUGGUUAUUACCUCUUCAAUAUUUAGUAGGGACAAUUUUGAUGUAUACGGCAAAUAAUAUCGAUGAUUGGUUGCCCGAAUCUGGGAAGCCAAACCUAACGAUGAUCGUAUGUGUGGUAUUUGCUAUCAAUGUCCUCUCCGCAAUUCAAGAUAUUGUCGUUGACGGUUGGUCUUUAACCAUGUUGAAAAAAAAUAACGUGGGUUAUGCUUCUACGUGUAAUGCUACUGGAUUACCAAUUGGAAUGUUUAUUGGUUCAGUUUGUCCAAUUCUGCUGGUAUCUGAGGACUUCAACAAUAAAUAUUUUCGAGUUAUGCCUACCACUGGUGGUUUAAUGACAUUGCAAACUUUUAUAUAUUUGUGGAGCAUUAUAUUUUUAUUAAUAACUACAUUAAUUGGUAUAUUUAAAAAGGAGAAAGAUAAUAAAUUAGAAUUGGACCACGUAAAGAUCAGCGUUUUUCAAAAUUAUAAACUGCUAUGGGACAUUUUAAAGAAGCCUAAAAUAAGACUAUUAGCAAUAGCAUUGCUAACAGCAAGGUUUGGAUUUUCUGGAAUGGACACUGCAUCGGAUUUGAAAUUAAUCGAUGCCGGGAUAUCUAAAGAUGACAUUAUGAUAAUAGAAACCGGCAUGUAUGCUGUAAAAUUUAUCAUGCCAAUUUUCGUAUCCAAAUACAUUUCUGGUCCUAAACCGAUGGAUCUUUAUCUGACGAUGACACCAAUCAGAUUGAUUUGGAGUAUUACUUACAUGGUAUUGAUUUACUACACUCCGAGCUUAAUAAAUAAUAAUGGAGAUAUAAAAGUACCGAUUUAUUAUUAUUUCUCAUUAACAUUAAUUUUUGCAGUAAAUACGGCUGAAGUAAAGUCAUGGUGAGAUGUUGCGUUGAUAAAAGAGAGAGGAUAUUAAAAUGUUGUUUAUUUUAUCGUUUGAUGUUUAGUUGUUUCAAAAUACACUUAACGUUUUCGCAUUAAUUAAACCUCGACAUUGACUAGAAAUAGAAGUUGAACUGCGGUGGUUUAAUAGUAGUACCUACUAUAUUAAAGUCCAAAAAGAAAAAUUCUUGUUGGAGAACUUUAAUAACUCAAUAUGCUGAGUUUUUUCAUGUUAUUAGCAUUAUACGCUUUCUUCUGUCGAUCAAGCGAUCCACGUUUUGGCGGCACGUACAUGGCGUUAUAUAAUACAUUUUAUUUUCUGGGAUGGUUAAUACCUAAUACUUUGGUU